CUCAGGGUUGCUUCUUGGUGAUCAGAGUCGAAAAGUAGCUUCUCCUGGAAAGUAAGUAACCAGUUAUUUUAUUUAUUAGUUCAAUAAAUCAACAUUUUCCACAGCACAAACAUGGGUUUGAUUGUAGUCAGAAAAUUGCAGCUUCAGUCCAGCCGCUUGAAUUUGUGUCUCGACAAGCGCAAUUCAAUCUCAAAGCCUAUAUUCAUUGUACACCCUAUUCAAUUGUGAACAGGUUUAAUUACCACAAGUGCAAACUGCAGUAGGUGGCAAGACCAUGAAUGAAUGAUUCAACUUUAAGACACGUUUUGCUCACGCAUCAAAGCUUCAAUCUUGCCAACAUCUUCUGGGGCAUCAACACCAUGACCUUCGUGCUCAACUUUUAUAACCUGCGAAAAAACAAGUCAUUGCAUACUCUACUUAGCAUAAAUGUUGCUUGCAGCAGAUUGAAAACAGAGAUACUCAGUCAAGAUCAAACACAAGGCCGGGGAAAAGCAGUUUACCUUCAUUUUAUAGCCAUUCUCAAGGACCUUCAGCUGUUCGAGAUCCUCUUCUAGUUGUAGAGGAGUAGGUUUAAGUUUUGGGUAUACCUUCAGAAACUUUGCAUCGUACCUCUCGAAUCCGAAGGAAAAAGGUGAGUCAAUACUUGUAACGGUACUAGAUUUUUAUGGGGGUAGUAAAUAAGUAUUUAGGAAUGUCAGGAUGUGGCGAGUUAGUAUUUUUAAAAUACUUUAAGAAAAUGUUUUCAAGGAUCGGGUGUUUCAAAAAAGAAACGUUUUCGUAAUUUGUCAAUUUUAAACGAUCAUUCUCUCACCAACUCUAAAAAGAUAAAAAAAAGAGGUUGAGGAACCAAAGAUAAAAUACCUUACUUCUGAUUGGAC
This 878-nucleotide long non-coding RNA is filed under the name Linum usitatissimum (flax). RNAcentral describes it as "long non-coding RNA (LUSI_LNC005093)". The record is from RNAcentral. Lineage: Eukaryota; Viridiplantae; Streptophyta; Magnoliopsida; Malpighiales; Linaceae.